AUGGACCGGCCGUCGAACCGCCAAAGGCCUAUAGACAGAGGCAUAUUCUGCCCAUCAUCCCUGCGUUUCAGUAUACGUCAACUCGCCAGGUCACCCGGCAGAUACCCACAUACAAUUUACUGCAUUACAGUGUCCAAACUUCAGUACAACAGUCAAGCUGCCAUGCUCGCCUCUGCUGCCUCCGUCGAGCGAGAUAAAUUUUUUGGUCUGUUACGGCUUUGUGCAGACAAGUUGCCAAGAUUGAUCAUGCAAAAAGGAGUUCUAUGCAUGUACGUGACAUUCUGCUGCAGAGGAGGGACAUGCACGUCCCAAAAUUUAUGGGCAAGUGAUACCCUGUUGAAAAUGAUACAUCAAUUGCAUGCAACUAUUGAUCAUCAGAUGUUUACAUUAGAUGGGUCAUACCAUCACUGGUUUGUCUACGAAAUUACAUCCAGAUAA
Molecule: ribosomal RNA, 438 nt
Filed under: Triticum aestivum (bread wheat)
Lineage: Eukaryota; Viridiplantae; Streptophyta; Magnoliopsida; Poales; Poaceae
Description: partial small subunit ribosomal RNA
Source: RNAcentral